Non-coding RNA from Rhamnusium bicolor, 76 nucleotides. The record is from the annotation of a GenBank genome assembly. NCBI's taxonomy places the organism in Eukaryota, Metazoa, Arthropoda, Insecta, Coleoptera, Cerambycidae.
AGCUUCGUGAUCGAGUGGUAAGAUCACUUGCCUCUCACCCUGGAGUCACGGUUUCGAACCCCGGUCGAAGAUCCUA